This 432-nucleotide ribosomal RNA is filed under the name uncultured bacterium. Its description in RNAcentral is "partial 16S ribosomal RNA". It matches the Rfam family "Bacterial small subunit ribosomal RNA", at positions 29 to 507 of the family's 1533-position model. The record is from RNAcentral.
AACGAACGCUGGCGGCAGGCCUAACACAUGCAAGUCGAGCGAGGACUUCGGUCCUAGCGGCGGACGGGUGAGUAACGCGUGGGAACGUGCCCUUUGCUUCGGAAUAGCCCUGGGAAACUGGGAGUAAUACCGAUGAGCCCUUUGGGGGAAAGAUUUAUCGGCGAAGGAUCGGCCCGCGUUGGAUUAGGUAGUUGGUGGGGUAAUGGCCUACCAAGCCGACGAUCCAUAGCUGGUUUGAGAGGAUGAUCAGCCACACUGGGACUGAGACACGGCCCAGACUCCUACGGGAGGCAGCAGUGGGGAAUCUUAGACAAUGGGGGAAACCCUGAUCUAGCCAUGCCGCGUGAGCGAUGAAGGCCUUAGGGUUGUAAAGCUCUUUCAGCUGGGAAGAUAAUGACGGUACCAGCAGAAGAAGCCCCGGCUAACUCCGUG